RNAcentral lists this long non-coding RNA (839 nucleotides) under Felis catus (domestic cat). RNAcentral's name for it is "lncRNA (ENSFCAG00000045793.2)". The record is from RNAcentral. Lineage: Eukaryota; Metazoa; Chordata; Mammalia; Carnivora; Felidae.
ACCUUAAAAAAAAAAAUCACCUAUCUCCCAAAUAAAGUCACACUUUUAGGUACAAGGGGUUAGAACUCAACAUGUGAAUUUAGCAGACACACUUCAGCCAUAACACCUACCUGCCUGAACUUGACAUUCUUUCCUCCACUCUCAGGUCCUUGAGUCCAUUUUCCCUGAAGAUCACUGGGCCCAGAAGAGAGACUCUGGCAGAACCAUUCACAGCCUGUUGAUGCAAUGACCACCUCCAGCUGCUGGCGAGGGGAGUUCUUGGCAACUGAAAGUGAAGCCAGGAGAUUGGAAACAGCUCAACGUGCUGAUCUGAGCCGACCACUUCGGGGGCUCCAGAGCGGAAUGUAGGUCGUGCUGAGUGAGGUCCCACAGGGGACUCUACAUCAUACAUCAUCCCUGAGAGAGGAAUGUUCAUGGUGUGCUCUUCUAGAAUUUUUUUUUUAAUUUUUUUUUCAACGUUUAUUUUUGGGACAGAGAGAGACAGAGCAUGAACAGGGGAGGGGCAGAGAGAGAGGGAGACACAGAAUCGGAAACAGGCUCCAGGCUCUGAGCCAUCAGCCCAGAGCCCGACGCGGGGCUCGAACCCACGGACCGCAAGAUCGUGACCUGGCUGAAGUCGGACGCUCAACCCACUGCGCCACCCAGGCGCCCCUAGAAUUUUUUUUAUGUAUAUGCAUCUGUUGACACAUACAGGUAUAUGACUUUUAUUUUUCUACACAUACUAGAUUGUGCUAAACAUAUCGUUCUGAAAGCUGCUUAAUGUUGAGUCAGAAACAUCUUCCAUAUCAACAGACGUAACACUGCUUCACCCUCCUUAGCAAAUGGAGUUACCACUGUAC